This 488-nucleotide ribosomal RNA is filed under the name uncultured bacterium. Its description in RNAcentral is "bacterial SSU rRNA". It matches the Rfam family "Bacterial small subunit ribosomal RNA", at positions 33 to 507 of the family's 1533-position model. The record is from RNAcentral.
GGACGACGCUGGCGGCGUGGAUUAGGCAUGCAAGUCGAACGGUAUCAUCCUUUCGGGGAUGAGAGAGUGGCGAACGGGUGAGUAACACGUAGGUGAUCUACCCUCAAGACGGGGACAACCCAGGGAAACUUGGGCUAAUACCGGAUGUGAGCUAUCGUGAGAUAGUUUGAAAGGUGGCUUCGGCUGCCGCUUGAGGAUGAGCCUGCGUCCUAUUAGCUAGUUGGUGAGGUAACGGCUCACCGAGGCAGUGAUAGGUAGGCGGCCUUAACGGGUGGUCGCCCACACUGGGAUUGAGAUACGGCCCAGACUCCUACGGGAGGCAGCAGUCGAGAAUAGUCUACAAUGGUCGGAAGACUGAUAGUGCGACGCCGCGUGAACGAUGAAUCCCUUCGGGGUGUAAAGUUCUUUUAUAUGUGAGCAGUGCUUCUUAUAUUAACAGUAUGGGGAGAGAGAUAUUAGCAUAUGAAUAAGCAACGGCUAACUCCGUG